RNAcentral lists this ribosomal RNA (360 nucleotides) under Proasellus valdensis. RNAcentral describes it as "partial 16S ribosomal RNA". The stretch from base 67 to 360 matches the Rfam family "Bacterial large subunit ribosomal RNA", at positions 2049 to 2576 of the family's 2925-position model. The record is from RNAcentral. Lineage: Eukaryota; Metazoa; Arthropoda; Malacostraca; Isopoda; Asellidae.
UUAUUGGGGGCGGAAUGAAUGAGGCGACGAAAUCUAGGCUAUCUAAGUUUUAAAUUAAAUUGACAAAGAGGUCAAAAGGCCUGUGUGGACCAAGGGGACGAUAAGACCCUAUAAAACUUUACUUUUAGUGUGGGGUCUGACGGGGUGUUUUUACAUUUAAAAGUUUUACUGGGGCGGUAGUUAUAAAAACAAUUAGAUAUAAAAUAUAUUAAAUAGUGUAAAAGAACUCUUUUGAGAAAUAGAACAAGUUACUUUAGGGAUAACAGCGUAAUCCCCCCAGAGAGUCCUAAUUGGCGGGGGGGCUUACGACCUCGAUGUUGAAUUGGGGUCUCUUGUAUAAGCAGGUAUAUAUAUGUAGGU